AUACGUAGGGGGCAAGCGUUGUCCGGAUUUACUGGGCGUAAAGGGCGCGUAGGCGGCGCUUCAAGUCGUCUGUCAAAUGGGAGGGCUUAACCCUUUUUCGCAGACGAAACUGGAGAGCUUGAGAAGCAGAGAGGCAAACAGAAUUCCUGGUGUAGCGGUGAAAUGCGUAGAUAUCAGGAAGAAUACCAGUGGCGAAGGCGGUUUGCUGGCUGCAUACUGACGCUGAAGCGCGAAAGCCAGGGGAGCAAACGGGAUUAGAUACCCCGGUAGUCCUGGCAGUAAACGAUGUAUGCUGGGUGUGAGACUAGCGAUAGUUUCGUGCCGAAGUUAACGCGAUAAGCAUACCGCCUGGGGAGUACGGUCGCAAGAUUGAAACUCAAAGGAAUUGACGGGG
RNAcentral lists this ribosomal RNA (394 nucleotides) under uncultured bacterium. Its description in RNAcentral is "partial 16S ribosomal RNA". It matches the Rfam family "Bacterial small subunit ribosomal RNA", at positions 523 to 918 of the family's 1533-position model. The record is from RNAcentral.